UGGCUCAGUUGGUAGAGCAUGGUGUUUGCAACACCAAGAUUGUGGGUUCGAUUCCCAU
RNAcentral lists this transfer RNA (58 nucleotides) under Salmo salar (Atlantic salmon). It matches the Rfam family "tRNA", at positions 8 to 63 of the family's 71-position model. Rfam says of the family: Transfer RNA (tRNA) molecules are approximately 80 nucleotides in length. Their secondary structure includes four short double-helical elements and three loops (D, anti-codon, and T loops). The record is from Rfam by way of RNAcentral. Lineage: Eukaryota; Metazoa; Chordata; Actinopteri; Salmoniformes; Salmonidae.